ACUGAGUGGCGGACGGGUGAGUAACGCGUGAGCAACCUGCCCUUCGGAGGGGGAUAGUGUCUGGAAACGGACAGUAAUACCGCAUAACGUAUUUUUACCGCAUGAUAAAAAUACCAAAACUGAGGUGCCGAAGGAUGGGCUCGCGUUGGAUUAGAUAGUUGGUGGGGUAACGGCCUACCAAGUCGACGAUCCAUAGCCGGACUGAGAGGUUGAACGGCCACAUUGGGACUGAGACACGGCCCAGACUCCUACGGAAGGCAGCAG
Molecule: ribosomal RNA, 264 nt
Filed under: uncultured bacterium
Lineage: Bacteria
Description: partial 16S ribosomal RNA
Rfam family: Bacterial small subunit ribosomal RNA
Source: RNAcentral